GAUGAACGCUGGCGGCGUGCCUAAUACAUGCAAGUCGAGCGAACAGACGAGGAGCUUGCUCCUCUGACGUUAGCGGCGGACGGGUGAGUAACACGUGGAUAACCUACCUAUAAGACUGGGAUAAAUUCGGGAAACCGGAGCUAAUACCGGAUAAUAUAUUGAACCGCAUGGUUCAAUAGUGAAAGACGGUUUUGCUGUCACUUAUAGAUGGAUCCGCGCCGCAUUAGCUAGUUGGUAAGGUAACGGCUUACCAAGGCAACGAUGCGUAGCCGACCUGAGAGGGUGAUCGGCCACACUGGAACUGAGACACGGUCCAGACUCCUACGGGAGGCAGCAGUAGGGAAUCUUCCGCAAUGGGCGAAAGCCUGACGGAGCAACGCCGCGUGAGUGAUGAAGGUCUUCGGAUCGUAAAACUCUGUUAUUAGGGAAGAACAAAUGUGUAAGUAACUAUGCACGUCUUGACGGUACCUAAUCAGAAAGCCACGGCUAACUACGU
RNAcentral lists this ribosomal RNA (496 nucleotides) under uncultured bacterium. RNAcentral describes it as "partial 16S ribosomal RNA". It matches the Rfam family "Bacterial small subunit ribosomal RNA", at positions 28 to 506 of the family's 1533-position model. The record is from RNAcentral.